GGCUGUUUUGGAACUCGCUCUGUAGACCAGGCUGGCCUCAAACUCAAGAGAUGCCUGCCUCUGCCUCCAGAGUGCUGGGUUAAAGGUAUGCACCAUUGCUUGGCAAUUCCAGCUUUUUAAAGGUCUAUUUUGUGGUUGUUUGUGUGCAUGUGGAGGCCAGAAGAAGGCAAUGGGUCCCCUGGAACUGGAGUCACGGAGUUGUGAGUUGUCAGCUGCCAGCUCCUAGACAAGUCCAGUGGGAACUCAGACUAAAGUGGAGCUCGCCAAGGACAAGCCAGCCAGCCUCUGCGAGGUCCUACUAUGUGCAUUCAUCUAUGCCUAAAUUGGCUCCAAGUUCACUUUUUUUUUUUUUAAAGCAAUCAGUGUCUCAUAAAAGCAAGUGAUGAAUACUUGGUAACGAUGAUCUUUAACCAUUUUGUUUAUUUAAAUGGCAACAAUAUGUUUACUGUUAGCUUAAACUAACAAAAAUAGCAUUCUGUUGUCUAGAGAUAACAAAAUAACUUUAGAAGUCCAGAAACUUGAAAAUUUAAAGAAGCAUCUCCUGAGAAGACAUGCUAGUGUACUAAGCAGUAUUAGUGUAGCAGUGUGUCCUGCUAAUGGCCGAGAGCCAGUCCACUGAGGUCACUGAGGAGCUCAUGCGGUGCUGCCAGCAGAGCUGCCCAAGUCAGUGGCAAAAGAAUGGCCCCGGAUCUGUCAAGACAUUUAAUUUCUACAUAAAUACCCUCUUGUUCAAAUCCUCUUCAUGGCUGUGUCUAUGAAUAUGCUGAAAUGCUUGAUACUUUUAACAAGACUGAAUUAAUAUAAAAAAGUAAUAGAAUUUCA
Myodes glareolus (Bank vole) is the source of this 822-nucleotide non-coding RNA. NCBI's taxonomy places the organism in Eukaryota, Metazoa, Chordata, Mammalia, Rodentia, Cricetidae. The record is from RefSeq and is a predicted model, not a curated record.